UAUUGCACAAUGGGGGAAACCCUGAUGCAGCGACGCCGCGUGAGUGAAGAAGUAUUUCGGUAUGUAAAGCUCUAUCAGCAGGGAAGAAAAUGACGGUACCUGAUGAAGAAGCCCCGGCUAAUUACGGUCCAGCAGCCGCGGUAAUACGUAGGGGGCAAGCGUUAUCCGGAUUUACUGGGUGUAAAGAGAGCGUAGACGGCAGCACAAGUCUGGAGUGAAAUGCCGAUGCUUAACCCCGGAACUGCAUUGGAAACUGUGCAGCUAGAGUGCAGGAGAGGUAAGUGGAAUUCCUAGUGUAGCGGUGAAAUGCGUAGAUAUUAGGAGGAACACCAGUGGCGAAGGCGGCUUACUGGACUGUAACUGACGUUGAGGCUCGAAAGCGUGGGGAGCAAACAGG
This 397-nucleotide ribosomal RNA is filed under the name uncultured bacterium. RNAcentral's name for it is "bacterial SSU rRNA". It matches the Rfam family "Bacterial small subunit ribosomal RNA", at positions 362 to 776 of the family's 1533-position model. The record is from RNAcentral.